Molecule: ribosomal RNA, 480 nt
Filed under: Streptococcus sp. oral taxon 064
Lineage: Bacteria; Bacillati; Bacillota; Bacilli; Lactobacillales; Streptococcaceae
Description: bacterial SSU rRNA
Rfam family: Bacterial small subunit ribosomal RNA
Source: RNAcentral
GACGAACGCUGGCGGCGUGCCUAAUACAUGCAAGCAGAACGCUGAAGGAGGAGCUUGCUCUUCUUGGAUGAGUUGCGAACGGGUGAGUAACGCGUAGGUAACCUGCCUGGUAGCGGGGGAUAACUAUUGGAAACGAUAGCUAAUACCGCAUAAUAGUAGAUGUUGCAUGACAUUUGCUUAAAAGGUGCAAUUGCAUCACUACCAGAUGGACCUGCGUUGUAUUAGCAAGUUGGUGAGGUAACGGCUCACCAAGGCAACGAUACAUAGCCGACCUGAGAGGGUGAUCGGCCACACUGGGACUGAGACACGGCCCAGACUCCUACGGGAGGCAGCAGUAGGGAAUCUUCGGCAAUGGACGGAAGUCUGACCGAGCAACGCCGCGUGAGUGAAGAAGGUUUUCGGAUCGUAAAGCUCUGUUGUAAGAGAAGAACGAGUGUGAGAGUGGAAAGUUCACACUGUGACGGUAUCUUACCAGAAAGG